UUGUCUCGGGUGCGACGGCGGUGCAAGUCCCCUGGAAGAGGGGUCGUAGAGGGUGAGAAUCCCGUAUGCCACCGCCAGUUAACCCCGGGUGAGACCCUUUCGACGAGUCGAGUUGUUUGGGAAUGCAGCUCUAAAUGGGUGGUAAAUUUCAUCUAAAGCUAAAUAUCCGCCAGAGACCGAUAGCGCACAAGUAGAGUGAUCGAAAGAUGAAAAGCACUUUGAAAAGAGAGUCAAACAGUACGUGAAAUUGUUGAAAGGGAAGCGCUUGCAACCAGACUCGACCGCGUGUGUUCAGCCGUCCCUCGGGGCGGUGCACUCUCACGCGGACGGGCCAGCAUCGGUUUCGGCGGCCGGAUAAAGGCCCUGGGAAUGUAGCUUCUUUGGAGUGUUAUAGCCCGGGGUGUAAUGCGGCCUGCUGGGACCGAGGAUCGCGCUUUUUGCUAGGAUGCUGGCGUAAUGGUUGCCAGCGACCCGUCUUGAAACACGGACCAGUAAGUUCUUCGUCCUGAAUAUGUUUUUGUCAAUACUAAUAUCUAUCGCAGAGGAGUCGACCAACCGCGCGAGUGUUUGGGUGUAAAGCUCACGAUGCGUAAUGAAAGUGAACGUAGGUGGGAGCUUCGGCGCACCAUCGACCGAUCUUGAUGUCUUCGGAUGGAUUUGAGUACGAGCGCGCUUGGUCGGACCCGAAAGUCAUGUGAUCUAUGCGUGAAUAGGGUGAAGCCAGAGGAAACUCUGGUGGAGGCUCGCAGCGGUUAUGACGUGCAAAUCGAUCGUCAAAUUUGCGCAUAGGGGCGAAAAACUAAUCGAACUGACUAGUAGCUGGUUCCUGUCGAAGUUUCCCUCAGGAUAGCAGCAACGAGCAACAGUCUCAUGUAAUAGAGCGAACGAUUAGAGGCCUUGGGGUUGAAACAACCGCCCCCUAUUCUCGAACUUCGAAUACGUGAGAAGGCCUGUUUCUUAAUGAACGGGACAUCGGAGAUCU
This 982-nucleotide ribosomal RNA is filed under the name Graphis elongata. Its description in RNAcentral is "LSU rRNA". It matches the Rfam family "Eukaryotic large subunit ribosomal RNA", at positions 159 to 1117 of the family's 3401-position model. The record is from RNAcentral. Lineage: Eukaryota; Fungi; Ascomycota; Lecanoromycetes; Ostropales; Graphidaceae.